Molecule: ribosomal RNA, 334 nt
Filed under: uncultured Bacillota bacterium
Lineage: Bacteria; Bacillati; Bacillota
Description: bacterial SSU rRNA
Rfam family: Bacterial small subunit ribosomal RNA
Source: RNAcentral
GACGAACGCUGGCGGCAUGCCUAACACAUGCAAGUCGAACGGAGAUAUUCAGGAAGUUUACUUUCUGAGUAUUUUAGUGGCGGACGGGUGAGUAACACGUGGGUAAUCUGCCUAUCACAUUGGGAUAACAGGGUGAAAACGCUGCUAAUACCGAAUAAGCCGACAGGGAUGGGAGUUCCAGUCGGAAAAGGAGCAAUCCGGUGAUAGAUGAGCCCGCGGCUGAUUAGCUAGUUGGUGAGGUAACGGCCCACCAAGGCGACGAUCAGUAGCCGGCCUGAGAGGGUGAACGGCCACACUGGAACUGAGAAACGGUCCAGACUCCUACGGGAGGCAG